UUUGAGCUUGACUCAAGAAUGGUAGGUCUGAAUUUCAGCUGAAGAUUGGAAGCUAACCACAAAACUACCCAUUACUUCCUCCAUCACUUCACAGAAACAUGGUAAUUUGUUUCUUCUCAAUACGUCUCCUUCAGAACGUCUAACAAAAUGUCUCUAAUGCCACUGAUGAUAAGGUCACUAGUGAAUCUAAUGAAGGCAAUAUUGUUUGAACCGGCAGCCACCGUGACAACUAUACUGUAUUACAGCGAUCUCCUACCUCGCGACAUCAACUUAGAGAGAUUAGUGCGACGGGAAUUCCUCCAUCCAGACAACCAUCUCUUCCAUUUUCUCGUUAACAUCUUGAGAUGCUUCUGAGAUGGAGCAGAUGGUCGGUCUUCUUCUUCUUCCGAUUUUGUCUUUACAGAGUAUGCAGAUAGGUAUGAGAAAUUGGAGAGCAUACACUGAUGAAUAAAUAGUGUAUUUUUUUUUAACUUCAUGUGGGUGUGCUUCAAAUUCAAUGAUAUUACUGGGGUGGUCACACAGGAAUCUUGAUCAAUACAGAUGCUUGGAUGAUUUUGUAUUUGUUCCUUCCACUUCUCUGUUCUUUGGGGUGUAAUAAUCCAUGGUUUUCAUGGUAGCUUGAACAGAAUAUAUUGUUUCUUUUAAGGAAUGGAGUCCAAAUUCAGAUUGAAA
Molecule: long non-coding RNA, 672 nt
Organism: Tripterygium wilfordii
Lineage: Eukaryota; Viridiplantae; Streptophyta; Magnoliopsida; Celastrales; Celastraceae
Exons: 3
Source: RefSeq, a predicted model, not a curated record